UGGGGAAUAUUGCACAAUGGGGGAAACCCUGAUGCAGCGACGCCGCGUGAGCGAAGAAGUAUUUCGGUAUGUAAAGCUCUAUCAGCAGGGAAGAAGAAAUGACGGUACCUGACUAAGAAGCACCGGCUAAAUACGUGCCAGCAGCCGCGGUAAUACGUAUGGUGCAAGCGUUAUCCGGAUUUACUGGGUGUAAAGGGAGCGCAGGCGGUACGGCAAGUCUGAUGUGAAAGCCCGGGGCUCAACCCCGGUACUGCAUUGGAAACUGUCGGACUAGAGUGUCGGAGGGGUAAGUGGAAUUCCUAGUGUAGCGGUGAAAUGCGUAGAUAUUAGGAGGAACACCAGUGGCGAAGGCGGCUUACUGGACGAUUACUGACGCUGAGGCUCGAAAGCGUGGGGAGCAAACAGG
Molecule: ribosomal RNA, 406 nt
Filed under: Roseburia intestinalis
Lineage: Bacteria; Bacillati; Bacillota; Clostridia; Lachnospirales; Lachnospiraceae
Also listed under: 3 other names
Description: partial 16S ribosomal RNA
Rfam family: Bacterial small subunit ribosomal RNA
Source: RNAcentral